Non-coding RNA from Henosepilachna vigintioctopunctata, 73 nucleotides. Lineage: Eukaryota; Metazoa; Arthropoda; Insecta; Coleoptera; Coccinellidae. The record is from the annotation of a GenBank genome assembly.
GUCUCCAUAGCUUAGUUGGUAGAACAACCGACUAUUGUGCGGUAAAACUCGGGUUCGUGCCCUGCUGGCGGCA